Arachis ipaensis is the source of this 756-nucleotide non-coding RNA. The record is from RefSeq and is a predicted model, not a curated record. Lineage: Eukaryota; Viridiplantae; Streptophyta; Magnoliopsida; Fabales; Fabaceae.
AGCUUCAGAAAAUCAGAAAAAAGAAGAAAGAAAGAAAGGGAGAAGGGAAACAGGGAGAGCAGAGGAGGGCGGAGAAGACGACCGCACCGGCGCGUUGGGCCUCACCGCCGCCGUCGCGUCGUUGUCGGACCGUGGCGAGGGGGCGUUUACGGAGGGAGCCAUGAGAGAGAGACAAGUGCGAGUCAGGACUGCGAGGGAGAAGCCACCGCGUGCUAUCAUCUUCAGAUCCGCCGUCGAGCAGAAGCCGUUCGCCACUGCUGGACCUCCGUCACCAGCGAUUCGCUGCCGUUGAAGCCCAUCACUGCUGCUGUGACACCGCCACGGAGAGAGGGAGUGACGUGAUUAAAGAGAGGAGGAGGAAGGAGACCGGCGUGCCGUCGGAGCCAAUGUCGCCCAAUCGCCGCCAUUCCCCCCUUGCCGUCGCCGUUCAGGCCACUGCCAAGUCACCGUCGAUGAAGCUUCAGCCACCGCCACGCCUAGCUGUCGCUAGGGUUGCCUCCGCCGCGUCUCACCACUAAAGAGAAGCCUUGCCUACGCUGUUGCCGAACCGGGCCAGAUUCACCGAUUAAUGCUACCGCCGCCACUGGCUUGUCAUUUCUGCUUGGCUGUGCCCUUAUUCGUCGUUCUAAUUGUUGAAAGGAAAUGUUGUCGAAGCUAUAGUUUCUCCGUUCCCCAUUCUCUUGUUUCUUUUCUGGUAAGACAAAUUCUAUUGUACUUUAUCUUGCCAUAAUGCUCCAUUUCGAUUCUAUUUUAUUA